ACGCACGCUGGCGGCUUGCCUAAUCCCUGCACGUAGAACGCUGAAGGCGGAGCUUGCUUCUCCGGAUGAGUUGCGAACGGGUGAGUAACGCGUAGGUAACCUGCCUGGUAGCGGGGGAUAACUAUUGGAAACGAUAGCUAAUACCGCAUAAGAGUAGAUGUUGCAUGACAUUUGCUUAAAAGGUGCAAUUGCAUCACUACCAGAUGGACCUGCGUUGUAUUAGCUAGUUGGUGGGGUAACGGCUCACCAAGGCGACGAUACAUAGCCGACCUGAGAGGGUGAUCGGCCACACUGGGACUUGGACACGGCCCAGACUCCUACGGGAGGCAGCAGUAGGGAAACUUCGGCAAUGGACGGAAGUCUGACCGAGCAACGCCGCGGGAGGGAAGAAGGGUUUCGGAUCGGAAAGCUCUGUUGUAAGAGAAGAACGAGUGUGAGAGUGGAAAGUUCACACUGUGACGGUAUCUUAACAGAAAGGGACGGCUAACUACGUG
Molecule: ribosomal RNA, 494 nt
Filed under: uncultured bacterium
Lineage: Bacteria
Description: partial 16S ribosomal RNA
Rfam family: Bacterial small subunit ribosomal RNA
Source: RNAcentral